AAGUCCUACGGGAGGCAGCAGUAGGGAAUCUUCCACAAUGGACGGAAGUCUGAUGGAGCAACGCCGCGUGAGUGAAGAAGGGUUUCGGCUCGUAAAGCUCUGUUGGUAGUGAAGAAAGAUAGAGGUAGUAACUGGCCUUUAUUUGACGGUAAUUACUUAGAAAGUCACGGCUAACUACGUGCCAGCAGCCGCGGUAAUACGUAGGUGGCAAGCGUUUUCCGGAUUUAUUGGGCGUAAAGCGAGUGCAGGCGGGUUCAUAAAUCU
This 264-nucleotide ribosomal RNA is filed under the name uncultured bacterium. RNAcentral describes it as "partial 16S ribosomal RNA". It matches the Rfam family "Bacterial small subunit ribosomal RNA", at positions 334 to 590 of the family's 1533-position model. The record is from RNAcentral.